Molecule: long non-coding RNA, 601 nt
Filed under: Rosa chinensis
Lineage: Eukaryota; Viridiplantae; Streptophyta; Magnoliopsida; Rosales; Rosaceae
Description: sRNA RchiOBHm_Chr5g0065051
Source: RNAcentral
GAGAAAACUAUAAUAAAUCUUCUCAUUUGUUUUCUUUUCCUCUUUUCUUGCAAGUUGCAAUCCAUUCACCAGCCGAAACAAAAACCGAUCAAAAUUUCCUCAUUUGCUUCGCUUUGCUUUCUCAUCCUAAAUCCCAAAUCAACCUAUUACCACCCUCUCAUCUUGGGGCAAAAAUCCCUUGAGAUUCGUCUAAGCCCCCAUUACCCCAUCCUAUAGAAUCGUCCCAACUCAACAACCAGUAAGAGGAACGGUGACUGGCAUAAAAGUCGAACCGAGAGCUUCAAGGAUUUGGUGUCACUAUUCAGGUGCCUAAGAGCUCCACCAUAUAAGUUCAUCAGGUUUCCAUAAAUCCUAUAGCAGGUUCAAUGGAUUAAGAAUUGGGUUUUUAUUUGAGUCAUAAAAAUUUAUGAAAUUUGUUAAGGAAUGUAGCACCUAUAUAUCAAACGAAGAGGUUGAUUUUUGGGUUUGUUUGUUGUAGUCAGAUUGGGUUAUGCUAUUAAUUAAUCAAAGGAAGAGGUUGAUUGGGUUUCAUCAGGUUGAUUGGAAGCACAUCUCAGACGAGUUUCUCCAUAAUGGGUUUGUUUGUUGUGGAAGAGGAUAG